Molecule: long non-coding RNA, 861 nt
Organism: Sardina pilchardus (European sardine)
Lineage: Eukaryota; Metazoa; Chordata; Actinopteri; Clupeiformes; Clupeidae
Exons: 3
Source: RefSeq, a predicted model, not a curated record
AACAAAUAUUAACUGAAGAUUGAAACCAGAACGGCGCGAAACUGUCUCGUUUUGGACACUGUCUGUGGCAGCACGGACCAGAGACCUGCUUCUUUGGAUGAAGCUUAGUGGUGGCGUUGGAAGACAGGAGAUAUAUGCUUUGGGUUUGCGUCAUCCACUACGUCGGCAAAGAACAGGAUCGGGGAAUGAAUACAUGGCCAACUGCAUCUCGUGGAAGUUGUUCUGAAGAUGCGAUGCGUGAAGGAAGGAAGUCCACAAGCAUGUGUGCUUCAGGUGUGUAAAUGUGUUGACAUAUCUUGUGUGUUAUAUAAUGUGUUCAGUCAUCAUCAUUAUCAUUAAUCACAGGAACAACCACACCACAAUUUUAUAUGGAAUUAUAGAUCCCUUAAUUAAUAGAAACCUGAUCUUGUUUGGCCAAAAUAGCUGCCAGGAGUGUUACCAAGAUGGCUGCAGAGUGGCUAGACUGUAUAAGGAUGUGUCAGACAAUAAAUUAAUUUAGUUUUCUUUUGAAAUUUCAUGCAUUUCAGCUGGCUGAAUGGGAAGAACUCUUUGACCAACCCCCAACUGAGAGAGCUGAGGGAAGUGGCUAUCAGUAAGUCUAUUUGUGGGGAGACUUACUCUGACAGAUGACAUCUUAUAAAUGAUGCUGUAGAUCUCAUAAUGAUCUUGCAAUAUGUAUUCCUUAUAACUAAAUGCAGUUUGGAGAUACUCCCCAGCUGCUAGUGAUGAUGCAACAUGUGGAGGCAAUAACUAAGCAGCAACAGAAAGAUAAGGUGCUGUGUCUGUGUGUGUGUGUGUGUGUGUGUGUGUGUGUGUGUGUGUGUGUGUGUGUGUGUGUGUGUGUGUGUGUGUGUGUGUGUG